GUGAAACAAAACAACGGAAAAAUUGCAUGAAAAAAUAAAUGAUUUGGCAACGUUUUAAAAUUCAAAUUCAGCCACCAGGGGGACUACAGAGUCUGUAUUGCGAAAUCAAUAAAUCAUCCAGAAAUAAGUUGAGCUUGAGCAUCAGGCCAUCAGUGCCAAUCAGCAUGAGGAUUGAGGAAAAACCGUUGGAAAUGUUCUCGCACUCAUACUUGACAGACGUCGUCAAUACGCUACAGAAUCUUAGUUGAAAUUUCGUAAAAUUUUAACAUUUUUCCACCACAGAAUUGUUUUCUUCUUAUAUCAACACGAAGCAUCCAGUUCAUUUCCCUUAAAUGUUGAAGACUGCUUCCAAUUUAUCUUCCUUGCAGCUGGGAUUUGUUUCUACUAAAGAUUAACUUUCUUCCAGCACCAAAACGAAGAAUCGAGUUCAUUUCCCACCGUGUUUGAAGCCUGCUUCCAAUUUUUCUUCAUUGAACUGGGAUUUGUUUUAUUUUUUCAUCAAAUCAGCAGAUUACAGAGGGUUCAACCUACCCAAAGCAUGGGAAGAAAGAAGAAGAACAUGGCUUCCAAAAAGAAAGCUGAGGAAGUAACACACCUGAAUGUGAGGUACAUGGCAAUCCCAAAAAGAAAAGGAAGAUUGAUUCUUUCCUGCUUGAAAUGGCAAACCAGACCGUUGACAACUUGAAGGACUUAAUCGAAGAUGGAUUUCAAACAAUAAUUGCCAACAACUG
This 731-nucleotide long non-coding RNA is filed under the name Daphnia pulex (common water flea). Its description in RNAcentral is "uncharacterized LOC124197925, transcript variant X1". Lineage: Eukaryota; Metazoa; Arthropoda; Branchiopoda; Diplostraca; Daphniidae. The record is from RNAcentral.